This is an unclassified non-coding RNA of Pongo abelii (Sumatran orangutan), 117 nucleotides long. It matches the Rfam family "Metazoan signal recognition particle RNA". Rfam says of the family: The signal recognition particle (SRP) is a universally conserved ribonucleoprotein. It is involved in the co-translational targeting of proteins to membranes. The eukaryotic SRP consists of a 300-nucleotide 7S RNA and six proteins: SRPs 72, 68, 54, 19, 14, and 9. The record is from Ensembl. NCBI's taxonomy places the organism in Eukaryota, Metazoa, Chordata, Mammalia, Primates, Hominidae.
GCCGGGCGCGGUGGCUCACGCCUGUAAUCCCAGCACUUUGGGAGGCUGAGGUGGGUGGAUCACCUGAGGUCAGGAGUUCGAGACCAGCCUGACCAACGUGGUGAAACCCCGUCUCUA